Molecule: non-coding RNA, 26 nt
Filed under: Rattus norvegicus (Norway rat)
Lineage: Eukaryota; Metazoa; Chordata; Mammalia; Rodentia; Muridae
Source: RNAcentral
UCAGACAGGAUGUUUCUAAUGGGCAC